Molecule: long non-coding RNA, 3455 nt
Organism: Oncorhynchus tshawytscha (Chinook salmon)
Lineage: Eukaryota; Metazoa; Chordata; Actinopteri; Salmoniformes; Salmonidae
Source: Ensembl
UGGUUAAAAAGAUGAGAAGAAAGGCUUCUCUGUGACAUCACAAGGUAGGUUUAAAGGCUUCUCUGUGACAUCACAGGGUAGGUUUAAAGGCUUCUCUGUGACAUCACAAGGUAGGUUUAAAGGCUUCUCUGUGACAUCACAAGGUAGGUUUAAAGGCUUCUCUGUGACAUCACAAGGUAGGUUUAUUCAUGGUGCUGUAGAUAAUGAGCAUGAGGUUGAAGAGGUUACCUUUGCCACCUGCUGACUAUGGCUGAGGUAGUGAACAGGACGGCACAACCACCAUGGAGACAUACACUGAAGAGAAUUAUAGAGUGAAGAGAAAUAGGUCACAGUCAAAUAUAUUUGUCUCUGUGUUUUAUUGCAAGUGACACUUGGUUCUUCCGGAGAGCUGAGCUGUGCCGUAGAGCUGGAGAAUGCAUCUGAAUAAUCAGGACUCAUUGGAGUGGAAGACUCAGAUGUCGUCCUUGGUUAGAUUCCCAGGGAGCCAGGCAAUGUUACAGAGUGGAAUAGAAUGGGACUGGGGUGCCUGAGGAAAGGGGUGUGUGUGUGUGUGUGUGUGUGUGUGUGUGUGUGUGUGUGUGUGUGUGUGUGUGUGUGUGUGUGUGUGUGUGUGUGUGUGUGUGUGUGUGUGUGUGUGUGUGUUGGUUCUUCUAUAAUUCCUCACAAGGAUAGUAAAACAAGGAAAAUUCUCCCUCGGGGUGAAAUGUCCCACGUCCUCAUGAGGACAAACACUAUUUUAAGCUUAGGAGUUAGGUUUAGAAUUAGGUUUAGGUUUAGAAUUAGGUUUAGGGUUAGAAUUAGGUUUAGGGUUAGAAUUAGGUUUAGGAUUAGAAUUAGGGUUAGGGUUAGAAUUAGGUUUAGGAUUAGAAUUAGGGUUAGGGUUAGAAUUAGGUUUAGGGUUAGAAUUAGGGUUAGGGUUAGAAUUAGGUUCAGGAUUAGAAUUAGGGUUAGGGUUAGAAUUAGGUUUAGGGUUAGAAUUAGGGUUAGGGUUAGAAUUAGGUUUAGGAUUAGAAUUAGGGUUAGGGUUAGAAUUAGGUUUAGGGUUAGAAUUAGGUUUUGGGUUAGAGUUAGAAUUAGGUUUAGGGUUAGAAUUAGGUUAGGUUUAGGGUUAGAAUUAGGGUUAGGGGUUAAGGUUAGGGGUUACGAUUUUGAAUGGCAUCGACAGGCAGUAUGUUGGCCACUGUGAUAACAGUUGACCAGGCAGCGGACAGUAUGUUGUUCACUGUGAUAACAGUUGACCAGGCAGGGGACAGUAUGUUGUUCACUGUGGAUGUCUGUAGUGACGACGGUUGGUUAGCGUUUACCUGACCCUGUGAUCGUUCCUGUUCUGCUCUGAUGAGCUGUCCUCCAAACUGAGGCUCCUCCUCCACUCCACCUUCACCUUGGACUUCUUCUGGUCUGUGGUUCCUCGUCUUCGUUGUCCUGCAGAACAGACUCCACAGAGUCAGAAGAGAGCUGGCUCUGCAGUCCUUUCAGCUAUGGGUCUAACAACCCAGGUGGUGGAGGAGCAGGGUUGGGAAGUAAUUUAUUACAUGUAAUCUGAUUAGAAAAAACGAACUGUAAUCAGUUAUGUUACCAGAUAAAAUAUUGUCAUCAGAUUACAGAGACUUUAGAAAUACUAGAUAAUUACUUACUGAAAUGGUUUUAAAUUCAGAAAGGAUGUUUUCUCAAAUCAGCAUUGACAUUUGGCUCAAGUUUAAGUUUGUUCCACCUGAGCGGGUCAAACCACCAGUCAGAGACCACUAUGAUGAAACCAAAUGAUGACCACCAAUCAGAGACCACCGUGAUGACACACCAAAUGAUGAGCACCAAUCAGAGACACCGUGAUGACACAGAAAAUGAUGACCACCCAUCAGAGACCACCGUGAUGACACACCAAAUGACGACCACCCAUCAGAGACCACCGUGAUGACACACCAAAUGAUGACCACCAAUCAGAGACCAUAACGAUGACACCAAAUGAUGACCACCAAUCAGAGACCACCGUGAUGACACACCAAAUGAUGACCACCAAUCAGAGACCACUGUGAUGACACACCAAAUGAUGACCAUUGCCUUUAAAGUAAUCCAAAUGUAACCGAAAGUAAUCUGAUUACUUAACCAAGUUUGUGUAAUCCAAAAAGUAACUUCUCUGAUUACAAUUUUGGACAUUAUUACAUUUAUAAAGCAACCUACCAAACCAUGUGGAGGAGGGAGGCUCAUCGUGGGCUUUGGAGGACUGGUCUUUCGAGGCAGGUUCCUCGUCUUCGCUGGUCAUGGGCUUUGGAGGACUGGUCUUUGGGGGCAGGUUCCUCGUUUUCGCUGGUCAUGGGCUUUGGAGGACUGGUCUUUGGGGUCAGGUUCCUCGAGUCAGAAGCGAGCUGGACCAGCUCUGGAGUCCUUUCAGCCAUGGGGUUUAACAAAGCACUCCAUGAUGCAAUCCUCGUCCCCUGAGGAGGAAGUGGCACACGUUUUUUUGUGGCUAUACAAAUGAACCCUUUGAUCUCUACAGUACAUUCAUGGGCUUUGGUCCACCACACUCCUUUAAUUGUAACUCUACAAAGUAUGACACAUUCCUUUCAGAUGACUGAAGAACUGCUUGUAGCCUGUUUUCUUUCUGUUGUUGGUGAUUCACAAAUGUGAUUAAAUGACUGAAAUGUAUUUUUUUGCAUCAAUCUAUGAAUCCAUAUGAAUAAUGUAGGCCUAGAUAGUCUGCCUUGGAAUCCACUAUUGAUCUCAUGUCUUAUCCUAUAGAUUUGUCAUAUCUCAUGUUUAAUCCUAUAGAUGUUUUAAAUCUAUCUGGUGGUGUGUAGAUAUUUCACACAUACACUAUGGGACGGUUUCCCAGACACAGAAUAGGCCUGGUUUAGGACUUUAAAAACAUUUUAAUACAGAAUCUCCACUGAGAAUGCUUUUCAGUCUUGGAAAGUGGCCUGAAAUCCAGGAAACUGACCCUCUUUUUUUAAUGAUUGUAUCACAUCAACUACGUUCUGUUCCCUUUGCUCUUCCUUCUCUUGCUGCUAGCUGUGCUCCUCUGUCUGGGUAUCAUAUUACCAGGUUGGGAUAUACUGCCAUCUGCUGUUUGUUUACUGUAAAUACAUUUAUGGAGGAUAUUGUCUCAGUAAAUGCCCCUUAUGGCCACCCUAGUACUAUCCCUAGGGGCACUAAUCCUUCUGGGUUCAAAUGUUUUUAAGUGUCUGGAAUAUUUAACAGCAUCUUGUGCUUCCCAAAUGGCACCCUAUCAUCUAUAUAGUGCACUACUGUUGACCAGGACCUGUAAUGCUUUGGUCAAAAGUAGGGCACAAUGUAGGGAAUAGGGUGCCAUUUAGGACACCUACCUCAGAGACACUCCAAGGAUCUCCUCUGACCACCACCUCCCUCAGAGACACUCCAAGGAUCUGCUCUGACCACCACCUCCCUCAGAGACACUCCAAGGAUCUCCUCUGACCACCACCUCCCUCAGAGACACUCCAAGG